GACGAACGCUGGCGGCGUGCUUAACACAUGCAAGUCGAACGGAAAGGCCCCUUUGGGGGUACUCGAGUGGCGAACGGGUGAGUAACACGUGAGUAACCUGCCCUUGACUUCGGGAUAACUUCAGGAAACUGGGGCUAAUACCGGAUAGGAAUCCUUGCUGCAUGGUGGGGGUUGGAAAGCUUCGGCGGGUUUGGAUGGACUCGCGGCUUAUCAGCUUGUUGGUGGGGUAGUGGCUUACCAAGGCUUUGACGGGUAGCCGGCCUGAGAGGGCGACCGGCCACAUUGAGACUGAGAUACGGCCCAGACUCCGACGGGAGGCAGCAGUGGGGAAUAUUGCACAAGGGGCGGAGGCCUGAUGCAGCAACGCCGCGUGCGGGAUGACGGCCUUCGGGUUGUAAACCGCAUUCAGCAGGGGCGAAGCUUGUGGUGACGGUACCUGCAGAAGAAGCACCGGCUAACUACGUG
RNAcentral lists this ribosomal RNA (465 nucleotides) under uncultured bacterium. RNAcentral's name for it is "partial 16S ribosomal RNA". It matches the Rfam family "Bacterial small subunit ribosomal RNA", at positions 28 to 507 of the family's 1533-position model. The record is from RNAcentral.